RNAcentral lists this ribosomal RNA (253 nucleotides) under uncultured bacterium. Its description in RNAcentral is "partial 16S ribosomal RNA". It matches the Rfam family "Bacterial small subunit ribosomal RNA", at positions 524 to 776 of the family's 1533-position model. The record is from RNAcentral.
GACAGAGGGUGCAAACGUUGCUCGGAAUUACUGGGCGUAAAGCGCGUGUAGGUGGAUUGGUGUGUCAGAUGUGAAAGCCCUGGGCUCAACCCAGGAACUGCACCUGAAACUACCAGUCUUGAGUGGUGGAGAGGGAAGUGGAAUUCCUGGUGUAGAGGUGAAAUUCGUAGAUAUCAGGAGGAACACCAGCGGCGAAGGCGGCUUCCUGGACACUAACUGACGCUGAGACGCGAAAGCGUGGGGAGCAAACAGG